Molecule: ribosomal RNA, 406 nt
Filed under: uncultured bacterium
Lineage: Bacteria
Description: partial 16S ribosomal RNA
Rfam family: Bacterial small subunit ribosomal RNA
Source: RNAcentral
AUUGAACGCUGGCGGCAGGCCUAACACAUGCAAGUCGAGCGAGCGGCGGACGGGUGAGUAAUGUAUGGGGAUCUGCCCGAUAGAGGGGGAUAACUACUGGAAACGGUGGCUAAUACCGCAUACUAUCGGAUGAACCCAUAUGGGAUUAGCUAGUAGGUGGGGUAAAGGCUCACCUAGGCGACGAUCGCUAGCUGGGCCGAGAGGAUGAUCAGCCACACUGGGACGGAGACACGGCCCAGACUCCUACGGGAGGGAGCAGUGGGGAAUAUUGGACAAUGGGCGCAAGCCUGAGACAGCCAUGCCGAGUGUAUGAAGAAGGCCUUAGGGUUGUAAAGUACUUUCAGCGGGUAGGCGUUACCCGCAGAAGAAGCACCGGCUAACUCCGUGCCAGCAGCCGCGGUAAUAC